UACGUAGGGUGCAAGCGUUGUCCGGAAUUAUUGGGCGUAAAGAGCUCGUAGGCGGUUCGUCGCGUCGGCUGUGAAAACCCGGAGCUCAACUCCGGGCCUGCAGUCGAUACGGGCGGACUUGAGUGUUGCAGGGGAGACUGGAAUUCCUGGUGUAGCGGUGAAAUGCGCAGAUAUCAGGAGGAACACCGGUGGCGAAGGCGGGUCUCUGGGCAACUACUGACGCUGAGGAGCGAAAUCGUGGGGAGCGAACAGG
This 253-nucleotide ribosomal RNA is filed under the name uncultured bacterium. Its description in RNAcentral is "partial 16S ribosomal RNA". It matches the Rfam family "Bacterial small subunit ribosomal RNA", at positions 524 to 776 of the family's 1533-position model. The record is from RNAcentral.